RNAcentral lists this unclassified non-coding RNA (3584 nucleotides) under Pomacea canaliculata. Its description in RNAcentral is "cyclin-C-like, transcript variant X1". The record is from RNAcentral. Lineage: Eukaryota; Metazoa; Mollusca; Gastropoda; Architaenioglossa; Ampullariidae.
UCACUCAUCACGUAUUGAAUUUGUCGUCUGCUGAAGGCGUUUGUUUCAUGGUGUGUGCACUUUGUUCACUGGUCCACAGAAUGAGUGAAAACGGCAAAAAUCCCAAAGCUUUCAAUGACCGAUAUAACUCAUCUUUUUUUUAAGCAAAAGUUUUCCCGAUGCUACCUAAACUCUACAAUUAAUAGCAGCCACGAGAUCGAGAAUCGAGACGCCCAGGCUUUGUUUACACUAUUGCGCAUGCGUGGGGAAAGAAUGCUAGAAAGUACAAGUGACUUCCGGUAGACUAUUCUGCAAACUGCGGUUCUUCGAUUCGGUGAAACGACUUCUUUCAGCAACAAGACAGAGCGUGAAGAUGGCUGGAAACUUUUGGCAGAGUUCACACUAUCAGCAGUGGAUGCUCGACAAACAAGAUCUCUAUCGAGAACGUCAACAGGACCUGAAGGAAUUAACAGAAGAAGAAUACCAGAAAAUCAUGAUUUUUUUUGCCAAUUUUAUACAAGCAUUGGGUGAGCAGCUGAAGGUACGGCAGCAAGUGAUUGCCACAGCUACAAUAUAUUUCAAACGGUUUUAUGCCAGGAAUUCUUUGAAGUGUAUUGAUCCAUGGCUGAUGGCACCAACCUGUAUAUUUUUAGCAUCCAAAGUAGAAGAAUUUGGUGUUAUAUCAAACAGCAGAUUGAUAACAACUUGUCAGAAUGUAGUUAAAAACAAAUUUGCCUAUGCAUAUCCUCAAGAGUACCCAUACAGGAUACAGAACGUGCUGGAGUGUGAAUUUUAUUUGCUGGAAAUGAUGGAUUGCUGUUUAAUUUUAUAUCACGCAUAUAGACCACUUACAAAGUACUGUGCAGAUUUGAAUUCUGAUACUGAACUUCUUCCCUUAGCAUGGAGAAUAGCAAAUGACAGCUUAAGGACAGAUGUGCCAUUGCUCUAUCCACCAUAUCUGAUAGCAUUGGCUUGUCUCCAUAUGGCUUGUGUUAUCAAGCAGAAAGAUAUUAAACAGUGGUGUGCAGAGCUUUCAGUUGAUACAGACAAAAUACUUGAGAUUACCAGGCAGAUUCUAGCACUGUAUGAUAUGUGGAAAACAUAUGAUGAGAAAAAAGAAAUAGCUGCUGUCCUUGCAAAAAUGCCCAAACCAAAGUUGAAUCCUUCAAGACCCCCAUCUGAAGGUUCUAAUGGACAAGAUGGCUCGAACCAGUCUGUUCAAGGUCAAGGGCAGAAUUUACAGCAGUCGAAUAUGCAGAGCAGUGGUCCAUGAUGUGGCCCAGUGUAACUUGCCUAGAAAAGUUAAUGUUGACCUGCUACACUAAGAGAGCUUCAUGAGGAAUGGACAUUGAGCAUAGAACCCUUUCAGGAAAAAAGUGACAGCAUUGCAAGAAAAAAAUUAAGGGCAUUUAUGUGCAUAACAAGUGCACUAAUGGUGGAUGAUAUCUGUGCAGAAGACAUUUCUCAGAACUUUCUGUGUAAGCAUAGCAAGGAAAGAUGGGCUUUGUUGUAACUGCCAUUGGUCCUGGCUAGGCCAGUCUACAGUGAAUGCUCAUAUUCUAUAGCCAGCACAGUGGUGAAAAGUUUUACCUCGGAUUUGAACAUAUAAAAGUGUCGUUAUUUAUUACGCAAUGCUAGAUUUAGAUUGGAAAAGAGGGGGAAAGGUUCAUUUUUGGACAAAUGUUUGUUCUAUAUGCGAGGCUGACUCUUCUUCCAGAAACAUUAACAGGGAUGUUAUAAUUUAAGGAUUCCAGAUUUAUUUUUCUCACCUAGUUGAUCAUACCCUUCGUCCACAAAGUGCUGUGAUCCCAUGGGCCUGAUAAAUGUUUCUGACUGAUGCACUCAAAAGAGAAGAAUAACUGUUGUAGAUAGAGGUGGGGAAAGAGACACAGUGCAGAAAAGAAGGAAAAAAUAUGCGAAGAGUCAGGGUUUAAUGAAUUCAUUUCCUGAAUAUGAAAACAGCAAACCUUUAUGAGGUGGACAGCUGCAAGGAGCAGAAUUGUCUUGGAAGAUUUUAUGUCACUGUGAUGUUUUCACCUUUCACUCCAAUACAUAGAAAUGAUUGACAGUAUUUUUGUAUUACCUACCUCAUGUUAAACUGCACAUCCAUCAUCUGGUGUCAUUUUACACCUGCCAGUUGUUCGUAUAGGAAGAUACUGAAAGAGUGGUUUUGUGUGAUAUAACAGCUAACUCUAUAAAGUGACAAAACUUGCAAAAUCUGUGUAUGUUUUGUGGAUUUGAUCAGCUGUGCAUUUCCAUCGUCCGAUUCUCUGAUUACCAAAAGGGAUCUGACAGAAUUGUGAUAAAAUAUUUUUCUUGGCCUAAGUGUGAAGUGUGCUAAUAAAAAGGGUAUUUUUUAUUUUUAUCAGUUUGCUGGUUCUCAUGCUUUGGUUUGGUUCAAGUUUACUGGAAAUAUUUUAGAAAAAUAACUGAAUGAAAAAAAUAUUCUGAAUACCUGGGCAUAAUUUUUGUGAGCAAUCCAUUUAUUUGUUGUGAAGAGUUGAAAUAAUUGUGUUAAAAAAAAACCGGCAUGAUUGUUUACAUAGUUUCAGUGUAUUAGAUGUAUUUUCCUAAAAGGAUGUGAACUUGUAAAAACUUGCUGCUGUAUGCAAAUCCAAGCAUAUGAGAAUGGUAUGAUUUGUAAAGGAUUAAGGUGAGUAUUGUCAGAGAACCUUUGUUAAAUACAUGCAGAAACUGUGCAUGUUCAACUUUGAGUUUCUCCAUUUUAAGUCUAGAAUCUCUUGCUUCAUCUUUAAUGAGAGCUAAUGUAACUUUAUUGAAAUAAGAUGAACAACAAAUUUUAAACUUUGGAUGCUGAUGCUGGACUAGAAAAAUCUCAGUACAUCUACCCCAAAACAGAACAAGGCAAGUUAGGUAAAUGGGACAGCAUACGAAAAUCUGUAAAUACUAGAAAAUUUGAGUCACAGGAAAGAUGUUUAUAAAAAAUAUUUACAGAAGACACCAAAGUCAUCAUCAGCUAGUGUAUUCAUGAUGAUAACCUCAUAGAUGGUGUAGUUAAAAACAUAGGGAGAUAAACUCAGAUGUAUGGCCAAUUGUUGUUCAUGGUGAGUAUGAGGACCAUGGCUGUGCAUGCAUUUUGGUGUGAAACUCCUUUUUCUUUCUCCGCCUAUCCAUGUAAUAAUUUCCAGCAUUGGUUUAAUCCUCAGCUUAACCAAAAGUUCUUUACAUGAGCGGUGGUUGUAGAAAUACAUUAGAUACAUUCCUUAAGUCAAAACUCUUUCAGUCCAUUAUUAAAUUCCAUCUUAUAAUUGAUAUCCUUUCCUUUCAUAGAGGACAGAACUAUUGCAAAGAAGAGGUGCAAAGACCAUUUGCAGAUAGAUUUCAAAAUUACUGCUGUUAACUUUAUGUAUUCUCAUGUAUGUAUUGCCUGAGGUAGAGGUAACAUUUCUUAGACCAUUUUUCUUCAUAUGGGUCAUAAUUUGUUCCCUGCUUUUGCUGAAAGAAUUAUGAGGUAUGCAGAAAAUAUUUUAAUGUGCUGUUGUAGCAGUGUGAAUGAAUUUUAGCAUGAUUUCAGGAUGUUUAGAAUGUAAGUGGAUUUCAGCAAUAUGUAGAAUGUCAGGAUUGGAAUAAAGUUACAGAAAGCA